This is a long non-coding RNA of Dreissena polymorpha, 233 nucleotides long. RefSeq lists it as uncharacterized. The record is from RefSeq and is a predicted model, not a curated record. Lineage: Eukaryota; Metazoa; Mollusca; Bivalvia; Myida; Dreissenidae. The transcript has 3 exons.
UGAAACUUCAUGGGUAGAUUGAUCAUGACUCGCAGAUGACCCCUAUUGAUUUUGAGGUCACUAGGUCAAAGGUCAAGGUCACGGUGACCCGAAAUAGUAAAAUGAUUUUCGGAUGAUAACUCAAGAACGCAUAUGCCUAGGAUCAUGAAACUUCAUAGGUAGAUUGAUCAUGACUCACAGAUGACCCCUAUUGAUUUUGAGGUCACAAGGUCAAAGGUCAAGGUCACGGUGAC